CAACGCAAUUGCCGAAGACAGCAGGUGCCAGAAGGCAUAAACGAAUGUGCCUGCCGAGGGAAUUUACGAAAAUAUCCGAAAGGGAUAUUUAUGUAAAGAAUUCAAACCUCUCUGUCAUAAGGCAGAGAGGUUUUUGUCUU
RNAcentral lists this small RNA (140 nucleotides) under Candidatus Eubacterium avistercoris. Its description in RNAcentral is "Ribosomal protein L10 leader". It matches the Rfam family "Ribosomal protein L10 leader", at positions 14 to 133 of the family's 138-position model. From Rfam's summary of the family: This family is a putative r-protein leader autoregulatory structure found in B. subtilis and other low-GC Gram-positive bacteria. It is located in the 5' untranslated regions of mRNAs encoding ribosomal proteins L10 and L12 (rplJ-rplL). A Rho-independent transcription terminator structure that is probably involved in regulation is included at the 3' end. Lineage: Bacteria; Bacillati; Bacillota; Clostridia; Eubacteriales; Eubacteriaceae. The record is from RNAcentral.